Non-coding RNA from Oryza glaberrima (African rice), 217 nucleotides. Lineage: Eukaryota; Viridiplantae; Streptophyta; Magnoliopsida; Poales; Poaceae. The record is from Rfam.
AAAAAGUCAAACCCUAGAUUUCCGUGUCCAACUUUAACGGUCCGUCUUAUAUGAAAUUUUUUUAUAAUUCGUAUUUUCAUUGUGGUUAGAUGAUAAAACAUGAUUAAUAUUUUAUGCGUGACUUGUCUUUUUAAUUUUCUUCAUUAUUUGAAACUAAUUUUUUCAAAUAAGACGGACAGUCAAACAUUAAGCACGGAAACCAGGGUUUGCUUUUUUU